RNAcentral lists this small nuclear RNA (21 nucleotides) under Arabidopsis thaliana (thale cress). Its description in RNAcentral is "snRNA_15695". The record is from RNAcentral. Lineage: Eukaryota; Viridiplantae; Streptophyta; Magnoliopsida; Brassicales; Brassicaceae.
UCUCAAAUUUAAAAGUUUAUG